Molecule: transfer RNA, 69 nt
Filed under: Anguilla anguilla (European eel)
Lineage: Eukaryota; Metazoa; Chordata; Actinopteri; Anguilliformes; Anguillidae
Description: tRNA-OTHER
Source: RNAcentral
GCGCGGUGGUGCAGUGGGUUAGCACUGUUGCCUCAGAGAAGGUCCUGGGUUUGAAUCCCGGCCUGGGCC